RNAcentral lists this ribosomal RNA (475 nucleotides) under uncultured bacterium. RNAcentral describes it as "SSU rRNA". It matches the Rfam family "Bacterial small subunit ribosomal RNA", at positions 26 to 518 of the family's 1533-position model. The record is from RNAcentral.
AGGACGAACGCUGGCGGCGUGCUUAACACAUGCAAGUCGAGCGGAAAGGCCCUUCGGGGUACUCGAGCGGCGAACGGGUGAGUAACACGUGAGCAACCUGCCCCUGGCUCUGGGAUAGCCUCCGGAAACGGGGAUUAAUACCGGACAUGACCUGCUGCCGCAUGGUGGCGGGUGGAAAGUUUUUCGGCCAGGGUGGGGCUCGCGGCCUAUCAGCUUGUUGGGGGGGUGACGGCCCACCAAGGCGACGACGGGUAGCCGGCCUGAGAGGGCGACCGGCCACACUGGGACUGAGACACGGCCCAGACUCCUACGGGAGGCAGCAGUGGGGAAUAUUGCGCAAUGGGCGGAAGCCUGACGCAGCGACGCCGCGUGCGGGAUGAAGGCCUUCGGGUUGUAAACCGCUUUCACCAGGGACGAAGCGAGAGUGACGGUACCGUGGGGAAGAAGCGCCGGCUAACUACGCGCCAGCAGCCGC